Molecule: ribosomal RNA, 478 nt
Filed under: uncultured bacterium
Lineage: Bacteria
Description: partial 16S ribosomal RNA
Rfam family: Bacterial small subunit ribosomal RNA
Source: RNAcentral
AACAAACGCUGGCGGCGUGCCUAAUACAUGCAAGUCGAACGGGGAAAGCUUUCGGGUGAGUACUAGUGGCGCACGGGUGAGUAACGCGUGGAUAAUCUGCCUUAGAGUGGGGGAUAACUAGUCGAAAGAUUAGCUAAUACCGCAUAAGACCACAAGAACUGCGGUUCAAGGGGUCAAAGGUUUUUCGCUCUAAGAUGAGUCCGCGUAAGAUUAGCUAGUUGGUAGGGUAAUGGCCUACCAAGGCGACGAUCUUUAACUGGUCUGAGAGGAUGAUCAGUCACACUGGAACUGAGACACGGUCCAGACUCCUACGGGAGGCAGCAGUAGGGAAUAUUGCACAAUGGAGGAAACUCUGAUGCAGCGACGCCGCGUGAGUGAUGAAGGCCUUCGGGUCGUAAAGCUCUGUCGCAGGGGAAUAACACAAUGAAGGUACCCUGUAAGAAAGGAUCGGCUAACUUCGUGCCAGCCGCCGCUGUAA